This 229-nucleotide ribosomal RNA is filed under the name uncultured bacterium. Its description in RNAcentral is "partial 16S ribosomal RNA". It matches the Rfam family "Bacterial small subunit ribosomal RNA", at positions 568 to 796 of the family's 1533-position model. The record is from RNAcentral.
CGCGUAGGCGGCUUGUUAAGUCGGAUGUGAAAACCGGGGGCUUAACCCGCGGGCUGCAUUCGAAACUGACAGGCUUGAGUCUGGUAGAGGAAAGUGGAAUUCCUGGUGUAGCGGUGAAAUGCGCAGAUAUCAGGAGGAACACCAGUGGCGAAGGCGGCUUUCUGGGCCACGACUGACGCUGAGGCGCGAAAGCUAGGGGAGCAAACAGGAUUAGAUACCCUGGUAGUCC